Molecule: ribosomal RNA, 276 nt
Filed under: uncultured bacterium
Lineage: Bacteria
Description: partial 16S rRNA
Rfam family: Bacterial small subunit ribosomal RNA
Source: RNAcentral
GUGCCAGCAGCCGCGGUAAUACGAAGGGUGCAAGCGUUACUCGGAAUUACUGGGCGUAAAGCGUGCGUAGGUGGUUGUUUAAGUCUGUCGUGAAAGCCCUGGGCUCAACCUGGGAAUGGCGAUGGAAACUGGACGACUAGAGUGUGGCAGAGGGUAGUGGAAUUCCUGGUGUAGCAGUGAAAUGCGUAGAGGUCAGGAGGAACAUCCGUGGCGAAGGCGACUGCCUGGGCCAACACUGACGCUGAGGAGCGAAAGCGGGGGGAGCAAAAAAGAUUA